This 270-nucleotide ribosomal RNA is filed under the name uncultured Streptococcaceae bacterium. RNAcentral's name for it is "partial 16S ribosomal RNA". It matches the Rfam family "Bacterial small subunit ribosomal RNA", at positions 505 to 775 of the family's 1533-position model. The record is from RNAcentral. Lineage: Bacteria; Bacillati; Bacillota; Bacilli; Lactobacillales; Streptococcaceae.
GUGCCAGCCGCCGCGGUAAUACGUAGGUCCCGAGCGUUGUCCGGAUUUAUUGGGCGUAAAGCGAGCGCAGGCGGUUAGAUAAGUCUGAAGUUAAAGGCUGUGGCUUAACCAUAGUACGCUUUGGAAACUGUUUAACUUAAGUGCAAGAGGGGAGAGUGGAAUUCCAUGUGUAGCGGUGAAAUGCGUAGAUAUAUGGAGGAACACCGGUGGCGAAAGCGGCUCUCUGGCUUGUAACUGACGCUGAGGCUCGAAAGCGUGGGGAGCAAACAG